UAUAGCUCGGUGGUAGAGCAUUUGACUGCAAAUCAAGAGGUCUGUGGUUCAAAUCUGGUA
This 60-nucleotide transfer RNA is filed under the name Xenopus laevis (African clawed frog). It matches the Rfam family "tRNA", at positions 6 to 65 of the family's 71-position model. Rfam says of the family: Transfer RNA (tRNA) molecules are approximately 80 nucleotides in length. Their secondary structure includes four short double-helical elements and three loops (D, anti-codon, and T loops). Further hydrogen bonds mediate the characteristic L-shaped molecular structure. tRNAs have two regions of fundamental functional importance: the anti-codon, which is responsible for specific mRNA codon recognition, and the 3' end, to which the tRNAs corresponding amino acid is attached (by aminoacyl-tRNA synthetases). tRNAs cope with the degeneracy of the genetic code in two manners: having more than one tRNA (with a specific anti-codon) for a particular amino acid; and 'wobble' base-pairing, i.e. permitting non-standard base-pairing at the 3rd anti-codon position. The record is from Rfam by way of RNAcentral. Lineage: Eukaryota; Metazoa; Chordata; Amphibia; Anura; Pipidae.